RNAcentral lists this long non-coding RNA (473 nucleotides) under Marmota monax (woodchuck). Lineage: Eukaryota; Metazoa; Chordata; Mammalia; Rodentia; Sciuridae. The record is from RNAcentral.
GUUCUCUGUUUUCAGAUGAGGAAGCUGAGGCAUGGAAGAAGCUGCCUCUUCCUUCUCUAAAGUUACAAGGCACUCUCUUGAGGCCUCUUGUGAAGCCUACAACUUCCAGUCUUGAAUGGGAAUGAGUUUUGCCUCCUCUAAUAGAUCUGAAGCUACUGAGAGUAUGUAGGUCCCAGAGCCAGCCUCAUCAGACUUUUUACAGAGGCAUUUAGAAAGAAAGUAGUGAAUCAGCAAUAACUCCCUUCUGUGCUGUGAACUUGUUUGGGCUGGAUGGGACUCUAUUUCCAUGACAACUUUAAGGUCCAAGAAGCAGAGUGCUUUGACUCAGUUCCCUGUGUCUACUGAAGCUGAGAUCUCUGCUUGAUUAAAGGAGACCUUGUUCUAGCCUUCUAUGCAGCAGAAUAUAAAGUCCACUCUCUGCUCCAUCCCACCAUGCCUGGUUUGGGUGGUCUGUUCCACCCUCACAUUAAUAA